AGCAGCCGUGGUAAUUCCAGCUCCAAUAGCGUAUAUUAAAGUUGUUGCAGUUAAAAAGCUCGUAGUUGAAUUUCGGGAUCAAUUAAUUGGUCGUGCCUCUGGUACGUACUGGUUUUAUUGGUUUCUCCCUUCUGACGAACCAUGAUGUCAUUAAUUUGGUGUCGUGGAGAAUCAGGACUGUUACUUUGAAAAAAUUAGAGUGUUUAAAGCAAGCUAACGCUUGAAUACAUUAGCAUGGAAUAAUGAAAUAGGACGUUUGAUCCUAUUUUGUUGGUUUCUAGGAUCGACGUAAUGAUUAAUAGGGAUAGUUGGGGGCAUUAGUAUUCAAUUGUCAGAGGUGAAAUUCUUGGAUUUAUUGAAGACUAACUACUGCGAAAGCAUUUGCCAAGGAUGUUUUCAUUAAUCAAGAACGAAAGUUAGGGGAUCGAAGACGAUCAGAUACCGUCGUAGUCUUAACCAUAAACUAUGCCGACUAGGGAUCGGAUGAUGUUAAUUUUUUAAUGACUCAUUCGGCGCCUUACG
This 522-nucleotide ribosomal RNA is filed under the name uncultured Glomeromycotina. Its description in RNAcentral is "SSU rRNA". It matches the Rfam family "Eukaryotic small subunit ribosomal RNA", at positions 569 to 1092 of the family's 1831-position model. The record is from RNAcentral. Lineage: Eukaryota; Fungi; Glomeromycota.